AGGACGAACGCUGGCGGCGUGCUUAACACAUGCAAGUCGAACGGUGAAGCCCUUCGGGGUGGAUCAGUGGCGAACGGGUGAGUAACACGUGAGCAAUCUGCCCUUGACUCUGGGAUAACUUCGGGAAACCGGAGCUAAUACCGGAUAUGACACAUAGCCGCAUGGUUUGUGUGUGGAAAGAUUUAUCGGUCAAGGAUGAGCUCGCGGCCUAUCAGCUUGUUGGUGGGUAAUGGCCCACCAAGGCGACGACGGGUAGCCGGCCUGAGAGGGCGACCGGCCACACUGGGACUGAGACACGGCCCAGACUCCUACGGGAGGCAGCAGUGGGGAAUAUUGCGCAAUGGGCGAAAGCCUGACGCAGCGACGCCGCGUGAGGGAUGAAGGCCUUCGGGUCGUAAACCUCUUUCAGCAGGGAAGAAGCGAAAGUGACGGUACCUGCAGAAGAAGCACCGGCUAACGUACGUGCCAGCAGCCGCGGU
This 479-nucleotide ribosomal RNA is filed under the name uncultured bacterium. RNAcentral describes it as "SSU rRNA". It matches the Rfam family "Bacterial small subunit ribosomal RNA", at positions 26 to 521 of the family's 1533-position model. The record is from RNAcentral.